GUAUGUUUCCUGUCAUCUGAUUACAGAUCUGACUGGACGUGAUGAAGAUUCAGGCAAACAAUUAGGCCCAGUGAUAGGAGUAGGGUCAGUGGUGGGGUUAAUAGUGCUUACUGUUCCUGUUAUCAUUCUGAUGAGGAUGAAGAGGAAGAAGAAGAAGAGUAUGACACCGAAUGUGUCAAGAGAAGACGAUGACAUUCAAGAGCCACUACGAGAAGGACCAGACAUUUAAAAAUGCCACAUUUAGAAACUUGUAGCUGAUGUGAAAUAUGAAGGUUAACUUGUGCCACUUUAUGUGCUCAGACUUCAGUGUUUGAACCAAAGAUUUUAAAUGAGAGGCUGACGUGCAAACAAACAUGUGUUUCGGUUCGUUUCAGACCAGUCUGAAGUCCCCACUGAAUGACCAAACUGGGAGCUGAAAGAGACAACCACUUUAAAGGACUUCGGCCACAUGAGGCGCCUCACCAAAAAGACUCGGACUGCUCAUCACUCACCUCCAUCCUAAAGAGCUUUGUCUCCGUUGUGCAUGUUGUUAGCUGCUCCCAUCCCUCAAGUCAAAGUGAAAGCAUAAUUCAAUAAAAUGUGAACCUUUCAUUUAUAAAUCUGUGCCACCACUAACUGAUGUUGUCUACUCGCCACCUCCUGGCCUGCUUAUGCUUUAUCACGUCACAUUAAUGGCACUUAUGUUGUCUGCUCCGUGUCAUGUUUAUAUCAAAUUAUUUCUAUAUACAGUAGUAAAUAGUUUGCAUUGAGAUUAUUAUUGACUUAAAUGGUCAGGUGCUUUUUCUCAUGUGGUAAACGUUUAUUCUUCACGUGCUUUGGACUUCAGGACCUGCCAUAGUUUGCUACGUGACAAUACUAAUAAAAGUGCAUCUUUUAAAAUGAAAAAGGAAGAAGCCGGUGAGAGUAACAGAAAGUAGAUGACCACAAUCAGCGUCGCAGCCCAUUUCUCGUGUUGGGAUUUACGUACACACGCGUGGAUUAAAGUGGAACGAGGCGAUGGGAAGAAGACAUGGGCCAUCCUACCUGUGGAUCUGUCUCAGUGGCGCCUCCAGUGUCAAGGACAGAAAAAAUAAAUGUGAGUGAGUCACAUGGAUUGGCCUUGAGCUCCUAUGGAGUGGCCUGUGGCAGGACUUUAAUUGUGCUUUGCCAAGUCGUAAUGAAGGAUCAGCCAGAUUAAGAUGGCAUUUAUUGGGUAACAUC
Long non-coding RNA from Polypterus senegalus (gray bichir), 1200 nucleotides. RefSeq lists it as uncharacterized. The transcript has 3 exons. NCBI's taxonomy places the organism in Eukaryota, Metazoa, Chordata, Cladistia, Polypteriformes, Polypteridae. The record is from RefSeq and is a predicted model, not a curated record.